GACGAACGCUGGCGGCGCGCCUAACACAUGCAAGUCGAACGGAGUUAAGAGAGCUUGCUUUCUUAACUUAGUGGCGGACGGGUGAGUAACACGUGAGCAACCUGCCUUUCAGAGGGGGGACAACAGUUGGAAACGACUGCUAAUACCGCAUAACGUUGCGAGGAGGCAUCUCCAUGCAACCAAAGAUUUAUCGCUGAAAGAUGGGCUCGCGUCUGAUUAGAUAGUUGGUGAGGUAACGGCCCACCAAGUCGACGAUCAGUAGCCGGACUGAGAGGUUGAACGGCCACAUUGGGACUGAGACACGGACCAGACUCC
RNAcentral lists this ribosomal RNA (315 nucleotides) under uncultured Oscillospiraceae bacterium. RNAcentral describes it as "bacterial SSU rRNA". It matches the Rfam family "Bacterial small subunit ribosomal RNA", at positions 28 to 339 of the family's 1533-position model. Lineage: Bacteria; Bacillati; Bacillota; Clostridia; Eubacteriales; Oscillospiraceae. The record is from RNAcentral.